RNAcentral lists this ribosomal RNA (520 nucleotides) under uncultured Scutellospora. RNAcentral's name for it is "SSU rRNA". It matches the Rfam family "Eukaryotic small subunit ribosomal RNA", at positions 569 to 1094 of the family's 1831-position model. Lineage: Eukaryota; Fungi; Glomeromycota; Glomeromycetes; Diversisporales; Gigasporaceae. The record is from RNAcentral.
CGCAGCCGCGGUAAUUCCAGCUCCAAUAGCGUAUAUUAAAGUUGUUGCAGUUAAAAAGCUCGUAGUUGAAUUUCGGGGUUCCACCGUUGGUCGGGCUAUUGUCUGUACUGGCGUGUGGAAUUUCUACCUUCUGGGGAACUAUCAUGUUAUUAAUUUAGCGUGGUAGGAAACCAGGACCUUUACCUUGAAAAAUUAGAGUGUUCAAAGCAGGCUUAUGUCUGAAUACAUUAGCAUGGAAUAAUAAAAUAGGACGGUGGUCCUGUUUUGUUGGUUUCUGAAUCACCGUAAUGAUUAAUAGGGAUAGUUGGGGGCAUUAGUAUUCAAUUGUCAGAGGUGAAAUUCUUGGAUUUAUUGAAGACUAACUACUGCGAAAGCAUUUGCCAAGGAUGUUUUCAUUAAUCAAGAACGAAAGUUAGGGGAUCGAAGACGAUCAGAUACCGUCGUAGUCUUAACCAUAAACUAUGCCGACUAGGGAUCGGACGAUGUUAACUUUUCUUGACUCGUUUCGGCGCCUUACGGG